This is a small nuclear RNA of Molossus molossus (Pallas's mastiff bat), 107 nucleotides long. The record is from RefSeq and is a predicted model, not a curated record. Lineage: Eukaryota; Metazoa; Chordata; Mammalia; Chiroptera; Molossidae.
GUGCUCACUCUGGAAGCACAUAGACUAAAAUUGCAACGAUACAGAGAAUAUUAAUAUGGCCCUUGCAAGAGAAGGACAUGCAAAUUUGUGAAACAAUCUGUGUUUUU